This 481-nucleotide ribosomal RNA is filed under the name uncultured bacterium. Its description in RNAcentral is "bacterial SSU rRNA". It matches the Rfam family "Bacterial small subunit ribosomal RNA", at positions 627 to 1102 of the family's 1533-position model. The record is from RNAcentral.
UUGAAACUGGAUGACUUGAGGGCAGGUGAGGGGAGUGGAAUUCCCAGUGUAGCGGUGAAAUGCGUAGAUAUUGGGAGGAACACCAGUGGCGAAGGCGGCUCUCUGGCCUGUUUCUGACGCUGAGGCGCGAAAGCUUGGGGAGAAAACGGGAUUAGAUACCCUGGUAGUCCACUCCGUAAACGAUGGGUGCUAGGUGUGGGAGGUAUCAACCCCUUCUGUGGCGGAUUUAACACAAUAAGCACCCCGCCUGGGGAGUACGGCCGCAAGGUUGAAACUCAAAGGAAUUGACGGGGGCCCGCACAAGCGGUGGAGCAUGUGGUUUAAUUCGACACUUCGCGAAGAACCUUACCAGGGCUUGACAUCAUCUGACCGCAUAUGAUAUUUUGUUUUCUGACUUCGGUCAGACAAAGAGACAUGUGAUGCAUGCAUAUCAUCAGCUCGUGUCGUGAGAUGUUGCGUUUAGUCCCGAAUCGAGCCCAAU